AGCUGACGAGUCCUUAACUGACGCUAAAGCUCGAAAGUGCGGGUAUCGAACAGGAUUAGAUACCCUGGUAGUCCGCACGGUAAACGAUGGAUGCCCGCUGUUGGCGAUACAAUGUCAGCGGCCCAAGCGAAAGCGUUAAGCAUCCCACCUGGGGAGUACGCCCGGCAACGGUGAAACUCAAAGGAAUUGACGGGGGCCCGCACAAGCGGAGGAAACAUGUGGUUUAAUUCGAUGAUACGCGAGGAACCUUACCCGGGCUUGAACUGCAGCUGAACGAUUCAGAGAUGAUGAGGUCCUUCGGGACAGCUGUGGAGGUGCUGCAUGGUUGUCGUCAGCUCGUGCCGUGAGGUGUCGGCUUAAGUGCCAUAACGAGCGCAACCCUUUUCUCUAGUUGCCAUCAGGUUAUGCUGGGCACUCUGGAGACACUGCCACCGUAAGGUGUGAGGAAGGUGGGGAUGACGUCAAAUCAGCACGGCCUGACGGGCGGGGUGGCAAGGCCUUGACAAGGGUUGGUACAGAGAGUGGGUAGUCGGCAAAUGCGAUCUAAUCCUUAAAGCCAUCCUCAGUUCGGAUUCGCGUCUGCAACCCGACACCGCGAAG
RNAcentral lists this ribosomal RNA (600 nucleotides) under uncultured bacterium. RNAcentral describes it as "bacterial SSU rRNA". It matches the Rfam family "Bacterial small subunit ribosomal RNA", at positions 723 to 1325 of the family's 1533-position model. The record is from RNAcentral.